This 496-nucleotide ribosomal RNA is filed under the name uncultured bacterium. Its description in RNAcentral is "partial 16S ribosomal RNA". It matches the Rfam family "Bacterial small subunit ribosomal RNA", at positions 28 to 506 of the family's 1533-position model. The record is from RNAcentral.
GAUGAACGCUGGCGGCGUGCCUAAUACAUGCAAGUCGAGCGAACAGACGAGGAGCUUGCUCCUCUGACGUUAGCGGCGGACGGGUGAGUAACACGUGGAUAACCUACCUAUAAGACUGGGAUAACUUCGGGAAACCGGAGCUAAUACCGGAUAAUAUAUUGAACCGCAUGGUUCAAUAGUGAAAGACGGUUUUGCUGUCACUUAUAGAUGGAUCCGCGCCGCAUUAGCUAGUUGGUAAGGUAACGGCUUACCAAGGCAACGAUGCGUAGCCGACCUGAGAGGGGGAUCGGCCAAAAUGGAACUGAGACACGGCCCAGACCCCUACGGGAGGCAGCAGUGGGGAAUCUUCCGAAAUGGGCGAAAGCCUGACGGGGCAACGCCGGGUGAGGGAAGAAGGUUUUCGGAUGGAAAAACCUUGUUAUUAGGGAAGAAAAAAUGUGUAAGUAACUAUGCCCGUCUUGACGGUACUUAACCAGAAAGCCCCGGCUAACUACGG